AGAAGUAUAGCUCAAAUGGUAGAGUGUCAGGCUUGACUGAAGAAGCCAAGCAAGAGCAAAAGACCUGAGUUCAAGUCCCAGUACUGGUA
Molecule: transfer RNA, 89 nt
Filed under: Dipodomys ordii (Ord's kangaroo rat)
Lineage: Eukaryota; Metazoa; Chordata; Mammalia; Rodentia; Heteromyidae
Rfam family: tRNA
About the family: Transfer RNA (tRNA) molecules are approximately 80 nucleotides in length. Their secondary structure includes four short double-helical elements and three loops (D, anti-codon, and T loops).
Source: Rfam by way of RNAcentral